ACAUGCAAGUCGAGGGGUAGAAGCAGCUUGCUGCUUUGAGACCGGCGCACGGGUGCGUAACGCGUAUGCAAUCUACCUUUUACAGAGGGAUAGCCCAGAGAAAUUUGGAUUAAUACCUCAUAGUAUGUGAGAAUCGCAUGGUUUUCACAUUAAAGUUCCAACGGUAAAAGAUGAGCAUGCGUCCCAUUAGCUAGAUGGUAAGGUAACGGCUUACCAUGGCGACGAUGGGUAGGGGUCCUGAGAGGGAGAUCCCCCACACUGGUACUGAGACACGGACCAGACUCCUACGGGAGGCAGCAGUGAGGAAUAUUGGACAAUGGGCGCAAGCCUGAUCCAGCCAUGCCGCGUGCAGGAUGACGGUCCUAUGGAUUGUAAACUGCUUUUGUACAGGAAGAAACACUCCCUCGUGAGGGAGCUUGACGGUACUGUAAGAAUAAGGAUCGGCUAACUCCGUG
This 455-nucleotide ribosomal RNA is filed under the name uncultured bacterium. Its description in RNAcentral is "bacterial SSU rRNA". It matches the Rfam family "Bacterial small subunit ribosomal RNA", at positions 53 to 507 of the family's 1533-position model. The record is from RNAcentral.